Long non-coding RNA from Phymastichus coffea, 684 nucleotides. RefSeq lists it as uncharacterized. Lineage: Eukaryota; Metazoa; Arthropoda; Insecta; Hymenoptera; Eulophidae. The transcript is spliced from 6 exons. The record is from RefSeq and is a predicted model, not a curated record.
AAAGUAAAAUACCGUAUUAGACUGAAGUUAAAUGGUAUGACAUUGCGGAACCUCAUGUCAUUUUUUAUCCUAGAAAAUAAAGGGAAUCCUCUAUUAACAUAAAAUUUUCUAGUUGCAAUAACAAGGAAUCAAAUCUAUAUACGCCGUCAAAGUAAAAAUUUGAUUUAUUACAUAAUUAAAAAUUAUUUCAAGUGAAUUAGCAGUUUCAUAAUGAUUUUGAGAAGAUUUUCUUCAACCCCAAAGUAUUUUUUUCAAAAGAACAAAAAGACUAAAAAGAAAUUAAAAAAUCUAUCUACAAAUAACUCGUUCAUUGGAACUUGAAUUGUGACAGAUUUAUAUUUAUUCACAAGGUUGAAUGUAAGUAAGAAAAUGUAAUUGCAACUGUCUCCAGUUGGAAUCUGAUAAUCUGUAUUGCUAAACAAGUUAAGAAUUGGAUUUUACACUACAAAAAAGAGAUUUUAUUUUUGUAACUAGUACAAGAGGGUCCUGAAUAUGGUAUUUUCAAAUGAAACUAUAAAUAACUUCAAGAACGCGUUAGGCAGUUUCAAAAGAAGUAUACAAAGUAAAAAUUGAAAAAUGUCCAAUGUCCAUACAUACAACAAAAAUGAAUUUUAUAAAAUAUAGGAAACCAUUGGAAUUAUUUGUAUAAGACUUAUGAAUUUUGUACGAAUAAAAUAAAUAAAA